RNAcentral lists this transfer RNA (68 nucleotides) under Megathymus beulahae beulahae. RNAcentral describes it as "tRNA-Asn". Lineage: Eukaryota; Metazoa; Arthropoda; Insecta; Lepidoptera; Hesperiidae. The record is from RNAcentral.
UUAAUUGAAACCAAAUAGAGGUUUACCACUGUUAAUGGUAAUAUUGAAUAUUUAUUAUUCCAAUUAAA